Dicentrarchus labrax (European seabass) is the source of this 656-nucleotide long non-coding RNA. RefSeq lists it as uncharacterized. The transcript is spliced from 3 exons. The record is from RefSeq and is a predicted model, not a curated record. Lineage: Eukaryota; Metazoa; Chordata; Actinopteri; Moronidae.
GUGAAUGUUAUUUCUCCUUCCUGAGAUCAUCUGAUCUUCCUUAACAGCUUUGUAGAGACAUUCUGCAGAGGACGAAACAUGUCUGGUAAACUGGAAUCAGCCAUGAGCAGCCUUGUUGAGCUGUUCGAGUGCUACGCACUAAAAGAUGGCGACAGGUUGCACCUGAGCAGAAGGGAGAUGAGUAAUAUGUUUCACGAAGAGCUCGGAGAUCUCAUCAAGCGGAGCAAGGACCCUCAAAAAACAGCAGAGAUCUUGACCAACAUGGACCAGAAUCUGGACGGCCAAGUGGACUUUGAAGAAUUUAUUUCCAUGGUGACUAAAUUCACUAUGUGCAGCUUCGACUACUUUACUAUGGACAGAACUGUAGUUUACACCAGUAGAUGUGGUAAUCCAUGGUAAAAAAUAUGAGUGUCACGCAGUCAAAGAUUGCUUAUACUCAGAUUUGACCUGUGAUGUUGAUUAAAAAUACAGUUACAAAGGUUCAAGUUGCAAGCUGAACUUGUUCCCUGCUGGUUUUAACCUCUGACUCAUUUAAAAUGUCAUCCUCUGAAUAUUAAAUAUGAACUCAAUGAUCUUUUAUGCAUUUUGUCAUUUAAUAUGCUAAACUGAUGUUAAGAAUCAGGGAUGAGAUUCAUUAAAAUGUUCUCUGAAACACA